This 20-nucleotide microRNA is filed under the name Pongo pygmaeus (Bornean orangutan). Its description in RNAcentral is "ppy-miR-613". Its record names the gene ppy-miR-613. The record is from miRBase by way of RNAcentral. Lineage: Eukaryota; Metazoa; Chordata; Mammalia; Primates; Hominidae.
AGGGAUGUUCCUUCUUCGCC